AAAUAGAUACCCGGGGUAGUCCACGCCCUAAACGAUGUCUACUAGUUGUCGGGGGAUUAAUUUCCUUGGUAACGCAGCUAACGCGGGAAGUAGACCGCCUGGGGAGUACGGUCGCAAGAUUAAAACUCAAAGGAAUUGACGGGGACCCGCACAAGCGGUGGAUGAUGUGGAUUAAUUCGAUGCAACGCGAAAAACCUUACCUACGCUUGACAUGUCCGGAAUCCUGCAGAGAUGUGGGAGUGCCCGAAAGGGAGCCGGAACACAGGUGCUGCAUGGCUGUCGUCAGCUCGUGUCGUGAGAUGUUGGGUUAAGUCCCGCAACGAGCGCAACCCUUAUCAUUAGUUGCUACGCAAGGGCACUCUAAUGAGACUGCCGGUGACAAACCGGAGGAAGGUGGGGAUGACGUCAAGUCCUCAUGGCCCUUAUGCGUAGGGCUUCACACGUCAUACAAUGGUCGGUACAGAGGGCUGCCAACCCGCGAGGGGGAGCCAAUCCCAUAAAACCGAUCGUAGUCCGGAUUGCAGUCUGCAACUCGACUGC
Molecule: ribosomal RNA, 540 nt
Filed under: uncultured bacterium
Lineage: Bacteria
Description: bacterial SSU rRNA
Rfam family: Bacterial small subunit ribosomal RNA
Source: RNAcentral